UGCCUUACUUCAGCACAGAGAAAUCGUCUCAGAGUUGCCAUUGAUAUAACCAGUGCCUUGUUAACAGAUGUGACCUGAUCUUUGCAGGGCCUGUCUCAGAUACUUACCUGUAUAUACCUGUGGGAGGAAGAAGAAAAAGGUGUGUCCACCUAGAAUAAUUUGUUUGCUGGAAGUUCUGUUGUUGGCAGAAAAUGGAAGCUACAAACUAGUGUGGUUAUCAGCAGGGAAUGGGAUCAAAGUUUCAGUCCAACAAGUCCAGGCAACUUUCAGCUUGAAGGCCAAGGUGUUACUACUUAGAAUUUAGGGCACAGAAGGCUGGUGUGUGUCGGCAGUGAUAUUUGGGAGAAUGAGUCUGUUUGGGAGACACUUUAGGUCAUACCAGCAGCUGCUGACAUAUGAACCUCGCAGAUGAAGAUGCCAUAGCAUGGCUAUUUCUCGACUGCACUGCUGAAGUAGUUUAAGAACAUCAACCAGACUGCUGUGUUGAGAAGAAUACAGACACUGCAUUCAGAUUCAGUGAGAAAGAGUGCUUUGAUCAACUAAUAUUUUCUGCAGUGGUCCAUCCAUGUGUGUUGGGUUUUACUGUUCCUGGCUUAAGCAUUCUCUACAACCAUGAGCUUGCAACUAAAAUGCUGAGAAAUGUAUGGCUACCAUAAAGCCAGUUUAAAUCUAUAUGCCAAAAGGCCUUAUUUAAA
RNAcentral lists this long non-coding RNA (695 nucleotides) under Homo sapiens (human). RNAcentral describes it as "uncharacterized LOC105377488, transcript variant 4 (LOC105377488)". Lineage: Eukaryota; Metazoa; Chordata; Mammalia; Primates; Hominidae. The record is from RNAcentral.